RNAcentral lists this ribosomal RNA (698 nucleotides) under uncultured bacterium. RNAcentral describes it as "bacterial SSU rRNA". It matches the Rfam family "Bacterial small subunit ribosomal RNA", at positions 604 to 1305 of the family's 1533-position model. The record is from RNAcentral.
GGGGCUUAACCCCAGACCUGCAUUCGAUACGGGCGAGCUUGAGUAUGGUAGGGGAGUCUGGAAUUCCUGGUGUAGCGGUGGAAUGCGCAGAUAUCAGGAGGAACACCAAUGGCGAAGGCAGGACUCUGGGCCAUUACUGACACUGAGGAGCGAAAGCGUGGGGAGCGAACAGGAUUAGAUACCCUGGUAGUCCACGCCGUAAACGGUGGGCACUAGUUGUGGGGACCUUCCACGGUCUCUGCGACGAAGCUAACGCAUUAAGUGCCCCGCCUGGGGAGUACGAUCGCAAGAUUAAAACUCAAAGGAAUUGACGGGGCCCCGCACAAGCAGCGGAGCAUGCGGCUUAAUUCGACGCAACGCGAAGAACCUUACCAAGGCUUGACAUAUACAGGAAUAUGGCAGAGAUGUCAUAGCCGCAAGGUCUGUAUACAGGUGGUGCAUGGUUGUCGUCAGCUCGUGUCGUGAGAUGUUGGGUUAAGUCCCGCAACGAGCGCAACCCUCGUUCUGUGUUGCCAGCAUUUAGUUGGGGACUCACAGGAGACUGCCGGGGUUAACUCGGAGGAAGGUGGGGAUGACGUCAAAUCAUCAUGCCCCUUAUGUCUUGGGCUGCACGCAUGCUACAAUGGCUGGUACAAACGGCUGCAAUACCGCAAGGUGGAGCGAAUCCGAGAAAGCCAGUCUCAGUUCGGAUUGGGGUC